This is a long non-coding RNA of Anthonomus grandis grandis, 1659 nucleotides long. RefSeq lists it as uncharacterized. The transcript is spliced from 3 exons. The record is from RefSeq and is a predicted model, not a curated record. Lineage: Eukaryota; Metazoa; Arthropoda; Insecta; Coleoptera; Curculionidae.
UGUUUUUCUUGUCUAAUCUGACAAAUUAAAAGAGAAAAACACUAUUUCCAGGCGGUCUAAACACUAUUAAAAAAAUAAAGCGAUGAUAUAGGAAAAGGCGAAAAAAUCGAAUUCUCAUUUAUAUAUCCCUAUCUCAGUCUGAGAAUUACAAGAAUAUGGGAAUAAAGUGAUGUUUUUCUUGUCUAAUCUGACAAAUUAAAAGAGAAAAACACUAUUUCCAGGCGAUCUAAACACUAUUAAAAAAAUAAAGCGAUGAUAUAGGAAAAGGUGAAAAAUCCAAUUCUCAUUUAUAUAUCCCUAUCUCAGUCUGAGAAUUACAAGAAUAUGGGAAUAAAGUGAUGUUUUUCUUGUCUAAUCUGACAAAUUAAAAGAGAAAAACACUAUUUCCAGGCGAUCUAAACACUAUUAAAAAAAUAAAGCGAUGAUAUAGGAAAAGGUGAAAAAAUCCAAUUCUCAUUUAUAUAUCCCUAUCUCAGUCUGAGAAUUACAAGAAUAUGGGAAUAAAGUGAUGUUUUUCUUGUCUAAUCUGACAAAUUAAAAGAGAAAAACACUAUUUCCAGGCGGUCUAAACACUAUUAAAAAAAUAAAGCGAUGAUAUAGGAAAAGGCGAAAAAAUCGAAUUCUCAUUUAUAUAUCCCUAUCUCAGUCUGAGAAUUACAAGAAUAUGGGAAUAAAGUGAUGUUUUUCUUGUCUAAUCUGACAAAUUAAAAGAGAAAAACACUAUUUCCAGGCGAUCUAAGCACUAUUAAAAAAAUAAAGCGAUGAUAUAGGAAAAAGUGAAAAAAUCGAAUUCUCAUUUAUAUAUCCCUAUCUCAGUCUGAGAAUUACAAGAAUAUGGGAAUAAAGUGAUGUUUUUCUUGUAUAAUCUGACAAAUUAAAAGAGAAAAACACUAUUUCCAGGCAAUCUAAACACUAUUAAAAAAAUAAAACGAUGAUAUAGGAAAAAGUGAAAAAAUCGAAUUCUCAUUUAUAUAUCCCUAUAUCAGUCUGAGAAUUACAAGAAUAUAUGAAUAAGGUGACGUUUUUCUUGUAUAAUCUGACAAAUUAAAAGAGAAAAACACUAUUUCCAGGCGAUCCAAACAGUAUUAAGAAAAUGAAGCGAUGAUAUAGGAAAAGGUGAAAAAAUCGAAUUCUCAUUUAUAUAUCCCUAUAUCAGUCUGAGAAUUACAAGAAUAUAUGAAUAAAGUGACGUUUUUCUUGUAUAAUCUGACAAAUUAAAAGAGAAAAACACUAUUUCCAGGCGAUCUAAACACUAUUAAAAAAAUAAAGCGAUGAUAUAGGAAAGGGUGAAAAAAUCGAAUUCUCAUUUAUAUAUCCCUAUCUCAGUCUGAGAAUUACAAGAAUAUGGGAAUAAAGUGAUGUUUUUCUUGUCUAAUCUGACAAAUUAAAAGAGAAAAACACUAUUUCCAGGCGAUCCAAACAGUAUUAAGAAAAUGAAGCGAUGAUAUAGGAAAAGGUGAAAAAAUCGAAUUCUCAUUUAUAUAUCCCUAUCUCAGUCUGAGAAUUACAAGAAUAUGGGAAUAAAGUGAUGUUUUUCUUGUCUAAUCUGACAAAUUAAAAGAGAAAAACACUAUUUCCAGGCGGUCUAAACACUAUUAAAAAAAUAAAGCGAUGAUAUAGGAAAAGGCGAAAAAAUCGAAUUCUCAUUUAUAUAUCCCU